RNAcentral lists this transfer RNA (82 nucleotides) under Chromatiales bacterium. Its description in RNAcentral is "tRNA-Leu". It matches the Rfam family "tRNA". From Rfam's summary of the family: Transfer RNA (tRNA) molecules are approximately 80 nucleotides in length. Their secondary structure includes four short double-helical elements and three loops (D, anti-codon, and T loops). The record is from RNAcentral. Lineage: Bacteria; Pseudomonadati; Pseudomonadota; Gammaproteobacteria; Chromatiales.
GCCCGGAUGGCGAAACUGGUAGACGCUGCGGACUUAAAAUCCGUUGCCGAAAGGCGUGCCGGUUCGAGUCCGGCUCCGGGCA